UUGAAUAUUGCGGCAGGUAGAUUAUAGGUUGUUGGAUCUGAAAACAAUUCAGAUCCAAUGGCCUAUAAUCUAGCUGCCGCAGUUUUCAG
RNAcentral lists this microRNA precursor (89 nucleotides) under Picea abies (Norway spruce). RNAcentral describes it as "miR11539b stem-loop (pab-MIR11539b)". The record is from miRBase by way of RNAcentral. Lineage: Eukaryota; Viridiplantae; Streptophyta; Pinopsida; Pinales; Pinaceae.